This 1054-nucleotide ribosomal RNA is filed under the name uncultured bacterium. RNAcentral's name for it is "bacterial SSU rRNA". It matches the Rfam family "Bacterial small subunit ribosomal RNA". The record is from RNAcentral.
GGCGCCUUGGCGUGCAGCUUGCAUGCCUGCAGGUCGACGAUUAGAGUUUGAUCCUGGCUCAGGACUAACGCUAACGGUGUGCUUAAUACAUGCAAGUCUAACGAGCAAUGUGAGAGUGGCAACACUCCUGCAAAGCUAGUGGCGAACGGGUGAGUAACGCGUAGGUAAUCUACCUUAGAGAUUAGGACAACCUUCCGAAAGGAAGGCUAAUACUAAAUAUUUUAUAUUUUUCGCAUGAUUAAUAUAAAAAAGGUAGCCGCAAGGCCUCCGCUUUAAGAUGAGCCUGCGUCCUAUUAGCUUGUUGGUAAGGUAAUGGCUUACCAAGGCUAUGAUGGGUAGCCGGCCUGAGAGGGUGAUCGGCCACACUGGGACUGCGAUACGGCCCAGACUCCUACGGGAGGCAGCAGUAGGGAAUAUUGCGCAAUGGGCGAAAGCCUGACGCAGCGACACCGUGUGAAGGAUGAAGGUCUUCGGAUCGUAAACUUCUGUCAAUUGGGGACGAAGGUAAUAAGGUUAAUAGCCUUUAUUAUUGACGGUACCUAAUAAGGAAGUCUCGGCUAACUCCGUGCCAGCAGCCGCGGUAAGACGGAGGAGGCAAGCGUUGUCCGGAAUCAUUGGGCGUAAAGAGCGCGUAGGCGGUUUUUCAAGUCGUAUGUGAAAACUUCAGGCUUAACCUGAUGAUUGCAUAUGAAACUGGAUAACUUGAGUACAGCAGAGGAAAGUGGAAUUCCUGGUGUAGCGGUGAAAUGUGCAGAUAUCAGGAAGAACACCAGUAGCGAAGGCGGCUUUCUGGGCUGUUACUGACGCUGAGGCGCGAAAGCUAGGGGAGCGAACAGGAUUAGAUACCCUGGUAGUCCUAGCCGUAAACGAUGGACACUAGGCGUGGGAAGUUAUCGACGCUUUCUGUGCCGAAGCUAACGCAUUAAGUGUCCCGCCUGGGGAGUACGGGCCGCAAGGCUAAAACUCAAAGGAAUUGACGGAAUCUCUAGAGGAUCCCCGGGUACCGAGCUCGAAUUCGUAAUCAUGGUCAUAGCUGUUUCCUGUGUGAAAUUGU